AUCUUCUGCAGAUUUCUGCCUACCUGAGAUCCUUAGGGGCAUUUUGUAGCUGCUGGAAAGGAAACCAACCCUAUCGCAGACAAAACCAAGAUAGAAAUGAAAGUGUCUCUUGAAAUAAGCUGUAUCUCUUUUGUCCUCAUCCUUCACGUACAUCAAGAUGCAAACCAGUUGCUAUAGAAAUGGAGGAAUGGAAAGAAAUGCUAUGUGAAAACUGAAAGGACUGCUGAGCAUUUGUUAGAUUGUAGGAGCUCAGUGGCAGUCCACCAAAUAGCCUAAAAUGUGUGAGGAGGCCACUGACCUUUCUACAUAUUGUAGAGCUUUUGUCCUUUGUCUGUAUUUAAAGGGCAUCCUGUGGACCUGACUUGUACUACUGAGAUUCACCCAUCUGAUAAACUGCAGUAGGGGAAAGAAAGUACAAGUAAUUCUCCAGAACUUCAGUCAUGCCUUGACUGGUAUGGGAGCUGAUCGUUUUGUUGUGGAUAUUUUCAAACUUUUACCAGAAAAAGGAAUAAAUGUCUUAAAUGUCUUUUGAAAAAAUGAUGACCUCAGGACUGAAUUUCCUGAGUCUUUAGCAUCUGAAUCCUCUUAUCAAACACUUUUGGAAAUAUGAAGAUGCUUGAACUCUUCAAAUUUCUUGCAAGUCUGUCUUUCCUUCCAUUAAAAACUAGGACUAUUCAUAAGUUCUUUCAAGUUGAUAUGGAGCAUCUCAACUUUAGUCAGCUUUACAGCAAGGCAUAUGGGGGUGUAGAUUGCUCGCAUACUUUCAAUAUGAUUUUUAUUCUUACAGUCUAGUGUUCAAUAGUGAGUAUUAAUUUUGUACUGUUGAUUAUUGAAUUUUUUAACAUAUUUUUUAAUAUAUUCAAGAGGUAUUUUCUAAUUUUGCAUGAAAAGAAAACUGAUCUGCUUGAUAUUUAAAUGUAUACUGUAUAAUAUAUGUAUAAUAUUAGGUAGCAUCCUGGGAAUCCUUUGUUUCCUACUUCUCCUUUUUCUAAGCUUUUAAGCUCAUCCAUUUCUAACUUGAUAAUUAUACCUAGAAUUAUUCCCACUUCUGCUUUUAGGUUUAGAAAGAAUUAGUAUGAUAAACACUGUAAGGUUAUUCUUUACUCAUACUUCACUGCUAUAUCUCUAAGGAUUCAUGUUUGCUCCACCAGAAGUUCUCUGAUGUGACAAAAAUCAUUUAUGUAUUGAAGAGGAGAAAAAUUUCCUCAAGGAGGGAGGAAUAAAGUAUUUCCAGACUUGUUCU
This 1243-nucleotide long non-coding RNA is filed under the name Gallus gallus (chicken). Its description in RNAcentral is "lncRNA (ENSGALG00010006874.1)". Lineage: Eukaryota; Metazoa; Chordata; Aves; Galliformes; Phasianidae. The record is from RNAcentral.